This is a long non-coding RNA of Homo sapiens (human), 1580 nucleotides long. RefSeq lists it as uncharacterized. The record is from RefSeq and is a predicted model, not a curated record. Lineage: Eukaryota; Metazoa; Chordata; Mammalia; Primates; Hominidae. The transcript has 3 exons.
CCCACAGAGGUGGAAUCUAGAGAGGCAGUUGGCCUUGCUGAGCUGCGGUGGGCUCCUCCCAGUUCGAAAUUCCUGGCGGCUUUGUUUACACUGUGAGCAUAAUACUGCUUGCUCAAGCCUCAGCAAUGGUGGACACCCCACCCCCCAGCCAAGCUCCAGCGUCUCAGGUCGAUCUCAGACUUCUGUGCUAGCAGCGAGAAUUUCAAGCCAAUGGAUCUUAGCUUGCUGGGCUCUGUGGGUGUGGGACCCACACAGCCAGGCACUGGAAGGAAUCUCCUGGUCUGCCGUUUGCAAAGAAUGUGGGAAAAGUACAGUAUCUGGGCAGGAGUGCACUGUUCCUCCCCGUACAGUCUCUCACAGCUUACCUUGGCUAGGAAAAGGAAAUCCCCCGACCCCUUGCACUUCCCAGCCCCAGGCAAAGCCACACCUACCCCUGCUCUUCAGGAUGCUGUCUCCCACCCUCCAACCCCAUGCUAAUCUGUGACACCUGAAAGCACAGGAUGGCUCCUAACAAGCAAUGCUUCCUGCAAGAGCCUUUUGAAAGAGAUAGAGCCUCCCUCUGUUGCCCACACUGCUUUUGAACUCCUGGUCUCAAGUGAUCCUCCCACCUCGGCCUCCCAAAGUGCUGGGAUUACAGAUGUGAGCCACUGCACCUGGCGGAGAUGACUUUUUAAAAGCCUUUAUAAGGAUAUGAACAGACACUUCUCAAAAGAAGACAUUUAUGCAGCCAACAGACACAUGAAAAAAUGCUCAUCAUCACUGGCCAUCAGAGAAAUGCAAAUCAAAACCACAAUGAGAUACCAUCUCACACCAGUUAGAAUGGCGAUCAUUAAAAAGUUAGGAAACAACAGGUGCUAGAGAGGAUGUGGAGAAAUAGGAACACUUUUACACUGUUGGUGGGACUGUAAACUAGUUCAACCAUUGUGGAAGACAGUGUGGUGAUUCCUCAAGGAUCUAGAACUAGAAAUACCAUUUGACCCAGCAAUCCCAUUACUGGGUAUAUACCCAAAGGAUUAUAAAACAUGCUGCUAUAAAGGCACAUGCACACGUAUGUUUAUUGUGGCACUGUUCACAAUAGCAAAGACUUGGAACCAACCCAAAUGUCCAUCAAUGAUAGACUGGAUUGAGAAAAUGUGGCACAUAUACACCAUGGAAUACUAUGCAGCCAUACAAAAGGAUGAGUUCAUGUCCUUCGUAGGGACAUGGAUGAAGCUGGAAACCAUCAUUCUCAGCAAACCAUCGCAAGAGCAAAAAACCAAACACCACAUGUUCUCACUCACAGGUGGGAAUUGAACAAUGAGAACACUUGGACACAGGAAGGGGAACAUCACACACCGGGGCCUGUCGUGGAGUGGGGGGAGGGAGGAGGGGGGAGGGAUAGCAUUAGGAGAUAUACCUAAUGCUAAAUGACGAGUUAAUGGGUGCGGCACACCAACAUGGCACAUGUAUACAUAUGUAACAAACCUGCACGUUGUGCACAUGUACCCUAAAACUUAAAGUAUAAUAAAAAAAAUUUUAAAAAGCCUUUAUAAACUAAACCAAAUAUAAACAAAAAUAAACUAUACCUCUUGACAGCUCUA